GGGUCGGUGCCCGAGUGGCUAAAGGGAACGGGCUGUAAACCCGUUAGCGAGAGCUUACGCUGGUUCGAAUCCAGCCCGGCCCA
This 83-nucleotide transfer RNA is filed under the name Phycisphaerae bacterium. Its description in RNAcentral is "tRNA-Tyr". It matches the Rfam family "tRNA". From Rfam's summary of the family: Transfer RNA (tRNA) molecules are approximately 80 nucleotides in length. Their secondary structure includes four short double-helical elements and three loops (D, anti-codon, and T loops). Further hydrogen bonds mediate the characteristic L-shaped molecular structure. tRNAs have two regions of fundamental functional importance: the anti-codon, which is responsible for specific mRNA codon recognition, and the 3' end, to which the tRNAs corresponding amino acid is attached (by aminoacyl-tRNA synthetases). tRNAs cope with the degeneracy of the genetic code in two manners: having more than one tRNA (with a specific anti-codon) for a particular amino acid; and 'wobble' base-pairing, i.e. permitting non-standard base-pairing at the 3rd anti-codon position. The record is from RNAcentral. RNAcentral also lists the same sequence under 1 other name. Lineage: Bacteria; Pseudomonadati; Planctomycetota; Phycisphaerae.